GCCCUUAUAGCUCAUUGGUAGAGCAUUUCCUUGGUAAGGAAAAGGCAAUGAGUUCAAUUCUCAUUAGGGGCU
Molecule: transfer RNA, 72 nt
Filed under: Acrochaetium secundatum
Lineage: Eukaryota; Rhodophyta; Florideophyceae; Acrochaetiales; Acrochaetiaceae
Description: tRNA-Thr
Rfam family: tRNA
About the family: Transfer RNA (tRNA) molecules are approximately 80 nucleotides in length. Their secondary structure includes four short double-helical elements and three loops (D, anti-codon, and T loops).
Source: RNAcentral